CAGGACGGAGCUGACUACAGUGUGGCCGUGUGUGUCCCCGAUUCUUGUGCGGAAGAGGAUGUGACCGCGCUGUCGCAGCUGGAUAUUUUAAGAUUCAGAAAUGCUUCCUUUUUGGCUCCUUCUCUCUCUCUCUUUACCACGAAUUCGAAUUCGUCCUCCUCACCUGGUGGGGGUGUGGCCAGAUGUGCUACUGGAAUGGUCCCCCUGGACACGUUUGCUGCCGUGUGUCUGUUCCUCACCCUGCUUGGCCUCGCCCUCCCUCUGGCUGGGACUGUGUAUGUGGCAGCCUGGGGCUGGGGGUCGGACCGCAGGGCGUCCCCCUCGCAUGGGGCAUGUUCGGCCACGUACGGGAGUCUGCCUUCGAGAGAAACAGAGAGGAGCGGACCAAGAAGCAGAAUCCAGGGGACGGGCGGCCUGUCCCGUGGCUCGCUGCCAGGAACCCCGAGCAGAGGAAAAAGUAGGCAUUUGAGUAAACUAAGACCACUCCUGGGAGGUGGCUUAGAUGAGUCCAAAAUUGGAAAAUAAUUCCUGCAGCACUGGCGUCCAGCGAAUGCCCGACAGCUGCCAAGCGCCAGCGCAGAGGUUGGGUCUCUGCUCUUCACAAUGCGGUCUUUGUUGCCCGUCCGUGUGCUCAGGCGAGGUCACCAAAAAUGCCGCUUUAUUUCUUGGGCACAAUUAUCCAGGGUGUUUUUGAGCUACCCAAAGAAAGACUAGGUCAGCACAGCGCUUGGGUUUCUCCGUAGUGAUCCUCUGGGGAACAAUUCCGUGGUCGCAUUGUGUAGUUUCAGUGUCACAACAACUCAGAUGACUCACAGAACCUUCCUGGCGCGCCCCCAAGGUAAAUGAUUUACAGGCACAAGAAGCCAGGGGAGUGAGUGUGCAACACAGCCGAUUCAGACCCAGCAGAACACGUCGGAGCCAGAAA
Phyllostomus discolor (pale spear-nosed bat) is the source of this 925-nucleotide long non-coding RNA. RefSeq lists it as uncharacterized. The transcript has 3 exons. Lineage: Eukaryota; Metazoa; Chordata; Mammalia; Chiroptera; Phyllostomidae. The record is from RefSeq and is a predicted model, not a curated record.